This 292-nucleotide ribosomal RNA is filed under the name uncultured bacterium. Its description in RNAcentral is "partial 16S ribosomal RNA". It matches the Rfam family "Bacterial small subunit ribosomal RNA", at positions 505 to 796 of the family's 1533-position model. The record is from RNAcentral.
GUGCCAGCAGCCGCGGUAAUACGAGAGGCCCAAACGUUAUUCGGAUUUACUGGGCUUAAAGAGUUCGUAGGCGGUCCGUCAAGUGGGGUGUGAAAGCCCUCGGCUCAACCGAGGAAUAGCGCUCCAAACUGUCGGACUCGAGGGAGAUAGAGGUGAGCGGAACUGAUGGUGGAGCGGUGAAAUGCGUUGAUAUCAUCAGGAACACCAGAGGCGAAGGCGGCUCACUGGGUCUCUUCUGACGCUGAGGAACGAAAGCUAGGGGAGCAAACGGGAUUAGAUACCCCAGUAGUCC